RNAcentral lists this ribosomal RNA (335 nucleotides) under uncultured bacterium. RNAcentral describes it as "bacterial SSU rRNA". It matches the Rfam family "Bacterial small subunit ribosomal RNA", at positions 28 to 355 of the family's 1533-position model. The record is from RNAcentral.
GACGAACGCUGGCGGCGUGCUUAACACAUGCAAGUCGAGCGGGAUCCAACCGGUGGCAACACCGGGGAAGAUCUAGCGGCGAACGGGUGAGUAACACGUGAGCAACCUGCCCCGAAGACUGGGAUAACACCGGGAAACCGGUGCUAAUACCGGAUGUCGUCAUUAGGCCGCAUGACCUGAUGAUGAAAGGAUUCAUCGCUUCGGGAGGGGCUCGCGGGCUAUCAGCUGUUGGUGGGGUAACGGCCUACCAAGGCGACGACGGCUAGCUGGUCUGAGAGGACGACCAGCCACACUGGGACUGAGACACGGCCCAGACUCCUACGGGAGGCAGCAGU